Pelobates cultripes (western spadefoot toad) is the source of this 720-nucleotide non-coding RNA. The record is from the annotation of a GenBank genome assembly. Lineage: Eukaryota; Metazoa; Chordata; Amphibia; Anura; Pelobatidae.
GCUGCUCAGUUCUGGGCUUGAUUCUGAAAGCUUGCCAAUCUCUGCCACGUGCUUGCUUCUAGACUUCACGUUGUAUCUUGUGCUGCUUUGUUUAUAACACGUGCUUUUGUCUGUUGUAGAAUAUAAUCUUGGAACAGUCUUUGUGAUUUGAAAAUCUUUGUCUUCUGAUAAACACACACAGCUCUUAACACAGCUUUUAACAUGGUUCUUUUUCUCUGUUUCUGGCUGCACACACUUCUAUUCAACACAAAGAGUAAUUCAAUCCGUCCUCUCACUCACAUCCUCUGCUCAAUUCCACCCUUAAUGGAAGUAUGGAAUGCCAGAAAAACAGUCUAGCUAGCUCGUCAAUAUAUGUCUAUAUUAAAGGACCACUCUAGGCACCCAGACCACUUCAGCUUAAUGAAGUUGUAACGGACCGUUUUGCACAAAAGGGGAAAAAAAACGUUUAGACGAUAAUCCCCCUUUCAGAGCCAGGCACAGCUACUGUAGAAUCACCAAAACUCACGAACCGCCAAUAAGUGAAUGCUCCAAACUCCCGAACGGCAUACAAGGGAAUAAGGUAACACUUCAAAUAAACGAACAGGAACCAUACGAAUAGCUGCUAGCAGGCGAACAGGAAAAGCUUCCAAGCGGCUUACACUCCUGGCAAUCAGUCCUUAGCAGCAUACAGUAAAUCCCCCCAAAGACGAGACAAGGCUCCGUGUUGAGGGUCAAGCAGUG